This is a long non-coding RNA of Leopardus geoffroyi (Geoffroy's cat), 4686 nucleotides long. RefSeq lists it as uncharacterized. The transcript has 3 exons. The record is from RefSeq and is a predicted model, not a curated record. NCBI's taxonomy places the organism in Eukaryota, Metazoa, Chordata, Mammalia, Carnivora, Felidae.
UGUUGGGAUGAGCACUGGGUGUUGUAUGGAAACCAAUUUGACAAUAAAUUUCAUAUUUAAAUAAAUAAAUAAUAAAUAAAAUAAAACAUUUAUUUGAUGAGAGGUAAAAGGAUUAAACGAGACAAUGCACACACAAAAAUAAAUAAAAAUAAUAAAAUAAAAUAAAAUAAAAUAAAAUAAAAUAAAAUAAAUAUUUUAAAGCAAGGCAAGGUAAUCAACAGUAUCCAGAGCAUCCUGUAGUAGCUGAGGACGGAACACUGAUGCUUGUUCCCAAGGUCCAGUCUCUUCUUGAUGCUACUCCUCAACACUCAGAAGAAGCCUUUGUCUAGAGAAGAUAUCUAUAGCCCAGCAACUCCCAGUUACCAUGGGAAGCAAGUAUAUUAUCUGGUCCAUAGCUCUUUCCAGAUGUGUACCAACAGUUAGGAUUGUAUGUUGGCAACCACAUUCUGAAAUCCUUAUCAAGAAAAUUUUAACUACAGAGUUACAAUAAAUAAUACAGAUUUUCAUAAUAUAAGUUUUGGACCAUUUAACCACCUAUUUAUUAAUCUCUAUAAUGUCUUUUCAAGACAGUUGGGAAAGUGUAGAUUAGCCUUGAAACUAUGAAACUGUAUUCCUUAGCACCAUUUUGGUUAGCUAAAUAUAUAAGUUCACCUGAGCUAGCUACAGAAAGAUUAGAAAUUGAUUUUAAAAAUACAGUGAUAUUUAAGGAUAUGAGGAUAAAAGGGUUCUAGCUGGGCAGAAACCAGGAAGCUAAAAAGUAUUAGGAACCCCCAUCAUCCUCCCCCCAUGAUUCCCCCACGGUUUUCUCUGGUUCUUUUUGAGAGUCUAAUUCAUUAUUUUCCCUGACAACCGGCUUUUACCUGCUUCUAAUUCAUAAGGUGGAAUAUGACCACUAACAACAGUGAGUUUAUCCACUUACUGAGGUGAUUUCUUGAAAUAUGAAUUUGUGUGUAUGUUUUGUUUUGUACUUCCUUCUGCCUCCCACCCCCCAGAGCCAUCUACAUUGACUAAAAGAGAAUUAGGAAGGUUCCAGACAGUAUGUAAAGAUAAUAAAACAGUCAAUGCUUAAUGCUUUCUUUCUUUCUUUUUUUUUUUUUUUUUAAUUUAAAAAAGGGGCUUUUUUGUAAGAGUCUUUCAGAAACAAUAGUUUUGGAAACCAAAGCUUUUCUUCUUUUUUUAAAGAGCAGCUUAAGGUUCACAGCAAAAUUAAGGGGAACUUAACAGAGAUUUCCCACACAUGCAUAGAAGCCAAAGCUUUUGAUCUGAAUGAGGUAGGUUUUUGUUGAAGGGGGAAAAGGAUUGUGAGAAUUGGAAGGAAAAGCCUCAAAGGAAGCAGGGCAGAGAAUUUAUGUGCUAAUAAUAAUACAUUGGAAAGAGGCUGCAAGAAACUCCUGACUGUAACCACCCCUUACCCAGGGAGAAGGGAGGUGAGGUCAGCAGAGCCUGGGAUAAGGGACCAGGACCUCUGAGGAACCAUGUGGAUGGAGGCAGAGUUGGUCUAGAGAGAUGAUGAGUACCUUACACCAGGGCUGGGAGCCACAUGGGGGGGGCCCAGCUGGCCUGCAGAUCAUGGGCCACUACUGGAGUGAGCCCACACUUGUCCUGAUCCUUUGUGCCAAGGAGCCACAACUAGCUGGGCAUUUUGCUUUGCUACCUGUAGAGGCCCUUCCACUGACAAAAGUGAGCACAUCACAUCACCUGGGCCCAUCCAGCAGAAGGGGCCCUCCUGGACUCAGGAGUUCGAGGACCUCCAUCUGAUCUCCCCACACUGAUAAUCGGCCUUUUCAACAGAGCAGGAUAUUCCUAAGCUUUCCAAAGGAGAAGGUGGGUGACCUCAAAGGGCGUUAGUGGUAGUGGGGAAAGGAUGCCACUGCCCCUGGACUUGGCUAUUUCUGAACAGUGGGGAACUUGACCUUGUCACAGAGUCACAUAGAUUGCUGCUCUCUAUCUCCAAGUCCAGUUCUAAAUUGUCAGGGAAGGGAUUCUAAAUGGCUUUGUCUGGGUCAAGUAUACACACCUGUUUAACCAACUGUGGAAAGAGAAGUAGAGAUUCAUCUACUUUAGGUGGUGGGGAUAUUUUAUGGUGAUGUCACAGACUGGGCAUAUAUUCCAGGGUGCUUUCAUAUGAAACUCUUUCCACAGUUAUACGUCAUAGCAUCAGAUCAUCACAUAUAUGUUAGUUAGCUCUCAGACUUAUAAAAUUUAAUGAACUAUUAUGUAAUCUUGGAUCCAAUAUUUCUGUGCCCAGAUUUUUCCACUUAAAACCACGAAGACAUUAGCAAAAGUAUCUCAAAAUUUCUUGUCUUUAUUUAAGAUUCUAGGAUUCUCUUUAUCUCACCAUUAUCUGUAGAUGGCUACAGGCUGAUCAUUCAGAGAGCCAGUACUGAAAAAUUAAAUUCUGUGCUCAAAUAACCAAUACCUUCUAUACAUGCAAACCCAUUACCUACCUGCUGCACAGCACAGCACUACCCGGUCAUACUGCCCACUCUCACCACCCACACACACAUUCAUAUGUCAGAGGUUGCUUGUUUCCACUCUUCAGGAUUAAAGUCCUUGUCUUGGAACUGUGAGAGGAGAGAGGGCUUUUGUGGGACAGAUGGGCUGAGGUGGAGAGAGAAGGCUGGAAAGGGCAGAGUGAAGUGUCUCCUCCAAAUCCCUUGGUCUGAUUUGGCAUCCUCCGUGCCGUGAGGGCCUGGAGGCUGGAGCCGAGUGAGUUAGUCAAGAAGACUCCGUGAGAUUUUGAGUACAAGCAGAGCGGCUCCAGAAUCCCAGGUGACAUGUGUGGUUGGAGUGUGGCUGAGACUUCCCUAAAGACUGGCAGCUGUGGGAGCAGACCCUAUGCCCUGGACAAAGACUCUGGAGAUGUCAGAGGUUGGUGAGCGGUCUCCCUGCAGCCUUAUAAGGAGUAGAUGUCAUGAAGCUGGAGCUGAAGUAAAAGAAGAAGAAAGCAAGCCCAAAGUACAUGUCAAGCAGGGUGCUGGCAUUGGUUUGGGGAAUCUGCUUACUUAGGACCCACUUUACCUGAGAACCAACGUGCUGCACUGACUCAAAUAGACACGAAAGACCUUUAAGAGCCACAAAACUUUGUUUCCAGAUGUUAUGGGGUAAAUUAUGUCCCUAAAAAUUCAUAGUUGAAGCUUAUUUACUUAGAGACAGAGAGAGGGCGCAUGUGAUCAAGGGGCAGAGAGAGAGAGAAUCCCACAAGGGGCAGAGACAGAGAGGGAGAGAGAAGUGGGGCUUACCCAAAGCGGGGCUUGAACUCAUGAACCAUGAGAUCAUAAUCUGAGCUGAAGUUGGAUGCUUAACCACCGAGUCACCCAGAUGCUCUCACAUGUUGAAGUUUGAACUCCCCAGUACUUCAGAAUGUAGCCAUAUUUGAAGGCAGGAUCUUUAAAGAGGUAAUUAAAUUAAAAUGAAGUCUUCUGGUGGACCCUCCUCUAAUAUGAUUGGUCUCCUUAUAGAAUGAGGAAAUUUAGGUACAGACGCAUACAGAGAGGGAAGAUGAUGUGAAGAGACAGGGCGAGGAUGGUCAUCUACAAGAGGAGGACAGAGGCUGGAACAGAUCCUUCCCUCAUCACCCUCAGAGGGAACCAACUCUGCCAACACCUUGAUCUUGGACUUUUAGCCUCUCGAAUUGUAAGAAAAUAAACUUCUGUUGUUUAAGCCACUGGGUUUGUGGUACUUUGUUACAGCAGCCCUAGAAAACUAAUACUAGGUCAUUGUUUUCUGAAGGAAAUUUCUUGAUUUCUGCCCUUUAUAAACUUCCUAAUAAAACAGACUAAAGAUUUAUUGAAUUAUAACUGUGUGUGUGUGUGUGUGUGUGUGUUUUAAGAACAGGGAGAAGACAUUAGUAUUAUCCACGUAAAGCUAAACAUGUCACAACAGAACAGAAAAAAGAGCUACACCUUCAGCCUAGCUAGUGACUGAUGGCAUCACAAAUAGCAAAAUGGCCAGUUUCAAGUGAUUUCAUAAUAAUGUUCUCUGAAAGAAACCAACUAGCUGUUUAAUUAUUGAGUCCUACAGGAUUUCCCACAAAAGGAUUAUUUUAAACUCAGAGCAGCCUUGAAAGGUGCUCGUUGACCAUCCCGGGACUCCAGUCUAUAGGAAUUCACAUGGACACACCAGAACAAACUGAGAAUAUGGUGAUGGUUAAUGGUAUUAACAGGCUAAUUGUAAGUUGUUCUGCUCCUUUGGUGUUCUCGAGCAGAAAUAUCAAACAAUCUCUGGUGAGUAUCUUGCAACAUACAAAUGCCAAUUGCAUACUGCAAUUUCAAGUUGUAUACCAAACAUGAGAUCAGCUGACAGUUUCCUGAAGUCUCACCAAAUAUGGCAAAGCAUGACGCUAUUUACUGGAAACAAGUGAUUUGUUUUAUUGCCUACAUUUUGAACACAAUAUAAAGAUACCCAGGCAGUGUCCUACUUCAAAAAAACUUCAAAAUAAAACCAGAAAGAAAGACAAACAGACAGUGGGACAGAGAGAGAACUACAGAUAAGUGGGAUCUUCUGGCCAAAUUGUUUUACUCUUGACUUUGGGCUACAGGAAAAAAAAAUCCCUAAAUGAAGGUGCCUUUCUUUUGUUUCUCUAAAAGUUUCUUGUACAGAAUACAUUUCCUUUUCCAAUUGUGAUAUGAAAAAAUUAAAUAGAACAAUGUUGGAUGUCUGCUGGGUCAGAAAAUUACUUUAAUA